AUACGUAGGUGACAAGCGUUAUCCGGAUUUACUGGGCGUAAAGGGCGUGUAGGCGGUCUUGCAAGUCAGAAGUGAAAUUCCUGAGCUCAACUCGGGCGCUGCUUCUGAAACUGCAGGACUUGAGUGCUGGAGGGGAUAGCGGAAUUCCUAGUGGAGCGGUAAAAUGCGCAGAUAUUAGGAAGAACACCGGAGGCGAAGGCGGCUACCUGGACAGUAACUGACGCUGAGGCGCGAAAGCGUGGGGAGAAAACAGGAUUAGAUACCCGGAUAGUCCACGCCGUAAACGAUGAAUACUAGGUGUAGGGGGUAUCGACUCCCUCUGUGCCGCAGUUAACACAAUAAGUAUUCCGCCUGGGGAGUACGGCCGCAAGGUUGAAACUCAAAUGAAUUGACGGGG
RNAcentral lists this ribosomal RNA (397 nucleotides) under uncultured bacterium. RNAcentral's name for it is "partial 16S ribosomal RNA". It matches the Rfam family "Bacterial small subunit ribosomal RNA", at positions 523 to 918 of the family's 1533-position model. The record is from RNAcentral.